GAGCCUUCGUUCAGCAAAUCUAGUAUUUUUUGGCGCCCAUGGGCCAGUAGCUCUGGGCUGAUCUGUAGCUCCCAGCAGUCCUCAGCCUUCUCCUCUGGCUCUGAGGCAUCCAGGGACUCCAGCUAUGAGGCAGGGGGAGGGAGGAACACAGAAGGCACGCGAUAAAUGAUACCCAUGCCCCCAACAUAUCAUCUCAGUUUUUAGGAUAUGGAUCUCAGCAUUUGGGGAUGCCGCCUGCUCCUGAACUGAAGGCAAGAAUUGUGAACCAGAAUCAUGGCAGAGGCUACUUCUUCUCACCCUCCCUGGUGGCCCCUUGGUUCUCCCAUUUCUGAUUCCUUGGGUCGGUCCCCUCCAUCCCAAAUUAACCUCUUGUUGUUUCCAUGUGACCUUUCUUGUAUUGGAAAGUAGUCUGUUGUUAGUCUGUAUGUUAGUUAACAUACUAAAUGCCUGAGAACAGA
Long non-coding RNA from Felis catus (domestic cat), 458 nucleotides. RefSeq lists it as uncharacterized. Lineage: Eukaryota; Metazoa; Chordata; Mammalia; Carnivora; Felidae. The transcript is spliced from 3 exons. The record is from RefSeq and is a predicted model, not a curated record.